Molecule: long non-coding RNA, 835 nt
Organism: Oncorhynchus keta (chum salmon)
Lineage: Eukaryota; Metazoa; Chordata; Actinopteri; Salmoniformes; Salmonidae
Exons: 5
Source: RefSeq, a predicted model, not a curated record
GGACAGAGAGCAGAGAGAGACAACAGGUUGGAGGAUCUGAACAGACUCCAGGACAGCUGGAGGAUAGAGAGCAGAGAGAGACAACAGGUUGGAGGAUCUGAACAGACUCCAGGACAGCUGGAGGAUAGAGAGCAGAGAGAGACAACAGGUUGGAGGAUCUGAGCAGACUCCAGGACAGCUGGAGGACAGAGAGCAGAGAGAGACAACAGGUUGGAGGAUCUGAACAGACUCCAGGACAGCUGGAGGACAGAGAGCAGAGAAAGACAACAGGUUGGAGGAUCUGAGCAGACUCCAGGACAGCUGGAGGACAGAGAGCAGAGAGAGACAACAGGUUGGAGGAUCUGAACAGACUCCAGGACAGCUGGAGGAUAGAGAGCAGAGAAAGACAACAGGUUGGAGGAUCUGAGCAGACUCCAGGACAGCUGGAGGAUAGAGAGCAGAGAAAGACAACAGGUUGGAGGAUCUGAGCAGACUCCAGGACAGCUGGAGGAUAGAGAGCAGAGAGAGACAACAGGUUGGAGGAUCUGAACAGACUCCAGGACAGCUGGAGGAUAGAGAGCAGAGAGAGACAACAGGUUGGAGGAUCUGAACAGACUCCAGGACAGCUGGAGGACAGAGAGCAGAGAGAGACAACAGGUUGGAGGAUCUGAGCAGACUCCAGGACAGCUGGAGGACAGAGAGCAGAGAGAGACAACAGGUUGGAGGAUCUGAACAGACUCCAGGACAGCUGGAGGAUAGAGAGCAGAGAGAGACAACAGGUUGGAGGAUCUGAGCAGACUCCAGGACAGCUGGAGGAUAGAGAGCAGAGAAAGACAACAGGUUGGAGGAUCUGAGC